This 1012-nucleotide long non-coding RNA is filed under the name Vombatus ursinus (common wombat). RNAcentral describes it as "lncRNA (ENSVURG00010015724.1)". The record is from RNAcentral. Lineage: Eukaryota; Metazoa; Chordata; Mammalia; Diprotodontia; Vombatidae.
GUGAGACCAAGCUCCACGACUCAAACGCAUCGUGACCUAGAAGCUGCUGAUGUCUGGCCUUGUUACAGAAGCAUGCUCAGAUAAGAGUCCACCAACUUUAUUCUCAGGAAUACACUGGUCAGGAAGAAACUCUAAUGGGACACAGAUGAAGCCAUUCAAGAGAAGAAACCGACUGAGGUCUGAAACAUUUGGUAUAUUGAAUUGGUCUAGGAUUAUGAAACCUAAACCUGCCAUUGUAAACAGGAAGGUGGAUCCCAGUUCUUCCAUCAUUUAUUGUCCAUUCUAUAUACUUUCCAUAUCUAUAUGUCAAGAAAGCCACUUGUCUCUGGUGUCCAUGCUCAUCUGUCCAAGAUCUAACACUGGGAGGUUCUACAAUGACCUAGAUUGUAAGACAUCACCACCAGGGCAUGCACUAGCACGGACAAAGGCAUGUGAGCCCAUGUGAGCAUGAAGCUUCUCUAGGUUCAGGUUAGAAAUCUCAAGUGCUGCAUAUUGGUCACAUCUUUAUGUAGGCAGCUUUGGAUGGAUGCCUAUGUAAAGCCACCAUGCAUUUACCAUUGCUGCUUCCUCAACCCACCUGGAUUUUUAUUUUCUUCAACGUUCCUCUUCUUCCACUUUCUGCCUAGCUUUUCUCCCACUUUGUGGAUCUUUUUCCCAAUGUCUUGGGAUGUGGAGGAAGGAGAAACUCUGGGGACAUGGUGAGUUAAGAAAAUAUUUAUGGGUCAAUGUGAGAAAAGCUCAACUAAUUGGCAUUUGGAGGUAAAUCGGCAGGAUGGAUUUGUAGCAGACAAGAUAGGCUUCUUAGCUGCCUGGCAUCAUCUCAUUUGAUAUGGAAAUAGUCCAGUAAAGUUCUAACCUCAGUUGGACCUUGCUAUUUUAAGUAGUCCAAAUGCAUAGAAAUGUAUUUCCAAUUGCCCCUUGGGCUUAACUGACCUGUUUCCAUGAAUGAAUUUAAUGAUAAAGACUGAUUAUUUUCCAAGUGUUUUAAUUCCUGCAUUCACUUCAGAUUGGC